CGUCGGGUGGGCGUCCGCGCGCCCCACGACGAGGAUCUGCGCGCCAGCGUCGUCUUCAACCAGCUGGCGAUCGCCCAGCUGCUCGACAACGUCAGCAACAUCUCUCGUGGCCACGACACAGUGACGACGCAGCUGGCGCCAGUUAUCCCGCAGCCACACAGCGCAGACGCAGCAGCUGAGUGAAGGCCUCGCUCGAGUGACAUCCAGCGUCGACAUCCUCUCCAGCUCUGACGUCACACCUACAGAUGGAUGACGUCAU
Non-coding RNA from Penaeus vannamei (Pacific white shrimp), 259 nucleotides. The record is from RefSeq and is a predicted model, not a curated record. Lineage: Eukaryota; Metazoa; Arthropoda; Malacostraca; Decapoda; Penaeidae.